This 465-nucleotide ribosomal RNA is filed under the name uncultured bacterium. Its description in RNAcentral is "bacterial SSU rRNA". It matches the Rfam family "Bacterial small subunit ribosomal RNA", at positions 917 to 1382 of the family's 1533-position model. The record is from RNAcentral.
GGGCCCGCACAAGCGGUGGAGCAUGUGGUUCAAUUCGAUGCAACGCGAAGAACCUUACCUGGUCUUGACAUCCCGGGAAUCCCCCUGAAAGGGGGGAGUGCCUUCGGGAACCCGGUGACAGGUGCUGCAUGGCUGUCGUCAGCUCGUGUCGUGAGAUGUUGGGUUAAGUCCCGCAACGAGCGCAACCCUUGUCUUUAGUUGCCAGCGGUUCGGCCGGGCACUCUAGAGAGACUGCCGGUGUCAAACCGGAGGAAGGUGGGGAUGACGUCAAGUCCUCAUGGCCUUUAUGACCAGGGCUACACACGUGCUACAAUGACCGGUACAAAGGGCAGCGACACCGCGAGGUGAAGCAAAUCCCAAAAAACCGGCCCCAGUACGGAUUGCAGUCUGCAACUCGACUGCAUGAAGUUGGAAUCGCUAGUAAUCGCGGAUCAGCACGCCGCGGUGAAUACGUUCCCGGGCCUU